GCGAGGAAUUUUCCGCAAUGGGCGAAAGCCUGACGGAGCAAUGCCGCGUGAAGGAUGAAGGCCUAUGGGUUGUAAACUUCUUUUCUCAGAAAAGAAUUAUGACGGUAUCUGAGGAAUAAGCAUCGGCUAACUCUGUGCCAGCAGCCGCGGUAAGACAGAGGAUGCAAGCGUUAUCCGGAAUGAUUGGGCGUAAAGCGUCUGUAGGUUGUUUAAAAAGUAUUCUGUCAAAGAUUAGGGCUUAACCCUAGAUAGGCAGAAUAAACUUUUAAGCUAGAGUUUGGUAGAGGCAGAGGGAAUUCCCGGUGGAGCGGUGAAAUGCGUAGAUAUCGGGAGGAACACCAAAGGCGAAGGCACUCUGCUGGGCCAAUACUAACACUGAGAGACGAAAGCGAGGGGAGCAAAUGGGAUUAGAAACCCGAGUAGUCC
RNAcentral lists this ribosomal RNA (426 nucleotides) under uncultured bacterium. RNAcentral describes it as "bacterial SSU rRNA". It matches the Rfam family "Bacterial small subunit ribosomal RNA", at positions 354 to 796 of the family's 1533-position model. The record is from RNAcentral.